CACAGGGUGGUGAGGAAAAGUGACAGUAAAAAUAAAAGAUCAAAGGGUCUUAGAAUCUUUACCAGAUACAAAAAUAAUAACUUCACAAUGGAAAUGUGGACUUAUGUGAUAACGAAGAAAUCAUCAAUGGCAAGAAACUAGUAGCUGUGACAUCUCAGCAGGAUAGAUAAAACACCAGGAACAAAGAAGAAAUCGGAGGCAGCUGCAGUUUGCCAUGGAGCUGGUGAGCCCAAGAUGGAAAGGAUGUAAGGAAAGAACAGCGAAGCAUGAGAAAUAUUAAGACACGAAGCACACAAUUCAAGCGGAGACUAGAUAG
Homo sapiens (human) is the source of this 316-nucleotide long non-coding RNA. RefSeq lists it as uncharacterized. NCBI's taxonomy places the organism in Eukaryota, Metazoa, Chordata, Mammalia, Primates, Hominidae. The record is from RefSeq and is a predicted model, not a curated record. The transcript has 3 exons.